RNAcentral lists this ribosomal RNA (146 nucleotides) under Chloropicon primus. Its description in RNAcentral is "partial 18S ribosomal RNA". It matches the Rfam family "Eukaryotic small subunit ribosomal RNA", at positions 1678 to 1823 of the family's 1831-position model. The record is from RNAcentral. Lineage: Eukaryota; Viridiplantae; Chlorophyta; Chloropicophyceae; Chloropicales; Chloropicaceae.
GCUCCUACCGAUUGAAUGUGCCAGUGAAAAGUUCGGAUUGGGCGUGGGAGACGGCAACGUAUCCCACAUCCGAGAAAAUCUUUAAACUUUCCCAUUUAGAGGAAGGAGAAGUCGUAACAAGGUUUCCGUAGGUGAACCUGCGGAAG